AAGUCGUAACAAGGUUUCCGUAGGUGAACCUGCGGAAGGAUCAUUACCGAGUUAGGGUCGCCUCCGUGCGCCCGACCUCCCAACCCUGUGUCUAUGUUACCUCUCAGUUGCUUCGGCGCGACCGUUCCCGUCCGCGGGACGCCGGACCUCUACUGGUCUGGAGAGCGUCCGCCGACGGCCACAAACCAAAACUCUUGACCUAAAACCUGUCGUCUGAAUUAAAUUUGUGAAAUAAAUCAAAACUUUCAACAACGGAUCUCUUGGUUCGG
This 269-nucleotide unclassified non-coding RNA is filed under the name Neostrelitziana sp. RNAcentral's name for it is "partial contains small subunit ribosomal RNA, internal transcribed spacer 1, and 5.8S ribosomal RNA". The stretch from base 1 to 46 matches the Rfam family "Eukaryotic small subunit ribosomal RNA", at positions 1786 to 1831 of the family's 1831-position model. The record is from RNAcentral. RNAcentral also lists the same sequence under 1 other name. Lineage: Eukaryota; Fungi; Ascomycota; Eurotiomycetes; Chaetothyriales; Trichomeriaceae.